Long non-coding RNA from Homo sapiens (human), 562 nucleotides. The record is from Ensembl. NCBI's taxonomy places the organism in Eukaryota, Metazoa, Chordata, Mammalia, Primates, Hominidae.
CCCUCCUCAGAGCUGGCGCAAGCAAUCCCAGACAUCACACUGGAGAGUCAAGCAUGAAUAAACUCCUACUUUGACACGAGUAUCCCUCCAGAGAUGGUUAAUUCAUCUCCUGUUCCAGAGACGUCACAUGUUAGAUCAAAUUUAAUCCCCAAUAAGAGUCUACCUGGGCUGGAGUUGAGGAUCCUACAUGUCUAUUAUACAGAGAUGCCAGAGAGAAGAGGGCAGCCCGCCUUGCAGGCCAACAGGAAGCGGGAGCCAUCUGGAACCUAUGUGCUCAACCAACAAACAUACUGCGGCUCACGGAGGUUAAGGAACUUGCCCAGGCCACACAGCUGAUGAGAAAACCAACUCAGAGGAGAUAAUGGCUUGCCCAAGAUCACACAGAAAGAGGAUAACAGAUCUUGGGCUACAAUCCGGGCCUCACGACUCUCUGCAUCUCUACCAUGUUGCUUGUCACCAACCAAAAACAUUUUCGUGGACAUUCCACAGAGAGAGAUUUACGCAAAUUAACUAUAAAAUGAUUAAAUAUAAUCCAUUGAAUGUAAAUAAACUGUUUACAAGU